Hydractinia symbiolongicarpus is the source of this 2578-nucleotide RNA transcript. RefSeq lists it as uncharacterized. Lineage: Eukaryota; Metazoa; Cnidaria; Hydrozoa; Anthoathecata; Hydractiniidae. The record is from RefSeq and is a predicted model, not a curated record. The transcript is spliced from 3 exons.
UGUUAACCACAGUUAUUGUUAUAAGAAGCUUUGCAAGGGGGUUUGAAAUUUCUUUUUCGGGUCUUCGUGGAUUUAUGCCCAGCUACUGCCAGGUUCACAAGUACUGGCGCAUGGGUGGUUGUCUGCUCUUAUUUAUAAUUUUAUAUGUAUUUAUUUAUUUUUUCUUUCUAUGUUUUAUAGCGCUACGUACCUGUCAGUAGGUGUUUUAUAUAAUUACCGUGAUUCUGCAAAAUAUCAUUGUAAUAAGGGGAGAUCUUGCACUGAAUAUAGAUGUCUAGAUCUCUACAAUUUCAAAACAAAUAGAUUCAAUAAAAUGUGCACAUACCAAUCCUUGGAUACACUAUUAAUCUGCAUCCAUGGAUUCAAGCUUCAUUGAUGACGAUAGCGAACACAGCCUUUCUGAUUUUCAAAGUAAUGAUAGACUCUAACCGAUCUCAAGAUAGUACCGUUGAGCCAACUGUUCAUGGCGAAUCUACCUUAAAUCGCAAAAUUUUACUUUGUGGAAACGCAAGAACAGAAAAUCACAUUUGGUAAAAACCAUAAUAAUAUUUACCAAAGAAGACAACUUUGACGUCUUGGUCGCAACACCAACCACACUACUCGCCGAUAACUACAAACAACCUUUGAUGUUCUACCAUGGAAUCUUGUUAUUAUCUUUCUGGGAGAUACACAUCAAAGUUUACCAUUAAUCACAGUCCAAAGUUCGAUGACUCGUUUUGCUGUUUUAUUUAUUUUAUAAAUGAAAUAAAACGUAUUUUUGAGCAUACGAAAAUGCCGACUACCUACAAAGUCAGCGGCGAAAGGAUUUUAAGCAUAAUUAGAGAGGAUCCUAAUACCAUUAUUCAAAGCAUCUUCCCACCGUACAACAGAUUUCACAACUAUGAUGAAUUUCCUAUCCGCGACACAGAACCCGAAAUUGAGGCAUGUACUUCAACGUACAGUAAUUUCGCCUUUACUGGAACACGUACAAUUAAACAUUUUCAUUUCUAUUCUGUCUUUUUUAGGUGAUCGAUAGCUCUAGAAACAGUCAAGCAUAUUUCGUCGGUUCGGAAGUCAUGUUAGCGUAAAAACGAGAUCAGAAAGGUUCUCUUAUGAAUGGCGUCAAGGGUGGGAAACGUUUUACAAGUAAUAACUUGCAAUAUAUUUCACAUCUGUAUUGAAAAUACAUGCGUCUUAGGUUAAAUAAUCAAUGCGCAAUUAGCCAUCAUUGCUUUAGAAACCGCAAGAACAACAAUCUACGUGUACCCAGUACAUUACAGCCACAGAACAUAUUGUUAUUCAAUUAUACCUACCUAUUGCUAAACUGCUCUAAAAUGUCAAGGUUGGUAACUUACUUUAACGCGCUAUCACUUCCUAGGCACUUUGAUUCUUACAAUUUCUAUUUAAUAGAACAAACACUCUCACAUAUUACCUGAGCCAUCGACAGAGACACAAUUGGUCCUGGCAUUGUCUCGAGUUCGUAAAGCACGAAACUGGAAUUGGCGACAGUAAUCACAGCAAAACACAUAACGCCUACACCCUCAUAAUAAUGCAAAUAAAAAAGUAACAAUGUUUGCAAAACAAAAUUAACUUUUCUCUUCCUCGUCAUCCUUCAUCGAAACAAUUGGUAAACCACAGCAACUUUGAAUUGUUUAAAAAAUAAUGGUAGAUAAACGAAAUUCUUAGUUAUUCGAAAUAUUGACGAAUGCACUUAAAACAAACUAGAUCGACAGUGCGACCCAAUUCUACAAUUUCCGCUAACAAAAAAUACAGCCUAUCAUUCAUGGUUGAAAGUCGCGCGAUCGAAACGCAUACUUUUUGUGUUAACUGUGCCAAAUUGUGUCGAAAACAAAUACCAAUUUUGGCCUGAAACGUCAUUUAGAUGACUUCCAAGUACUCAGAGAGUUUAGGUACGAAGUUUAAAUCUGUGACGUUGCAAUUGACCAUUUGUGACAUAGUAACUAUUUGGAAACCAAUAAUAGUAAAAACAAAUUAAAUUUGAAAAAAACUUUAAUUCUCGAACUUCCAACAACAAAAGAUACAACACAUAAGGACAUAAUUGCCGUUUACCUGAACUAUUACAGACUGUCGUGUUUAUCUCUGCUUACCAAUAUGAUACAAUUGCUAACAGAACUAAAAUAAAGAGUGAAACCGUAAAACAAGGAGGAGAGGAGUACUGAAAACAGUUCGAUGUAGUAAUGUUGUUUAUUGAAUGUAUUUGUACGCGUUUUGUGCGUCGCAAAUCAUAAAAACCAUUUAGGCUUUUGUGUAUGACGUAAAUACCUUGUAGGAUUAAACGAUGUUUCCAAUUGCUUGUGGAGCCAAUGCCUUGUUUUUUUGAAGUAUAUCCGGGAUCGUCAUGGAGAUUAUAUGAUCUCGUAGUGCAGGCAUCAGCACGUAUCAUUAAUUGUUGUAAAUUCUUUGCUGUUUUGUGAGCUACCAUUAUUGAACCACGUGGGAAUAUUUUUGAAAGAGUCGAGGUGUUUUUUUGACAAUGUUACUCAGACGUUAAAAUUGUAACCUGCAAAUUUGAGUUGUUUUUAAUCAUUUUGAUAGGAGCUUCAGACCUUUUUUUUGGAUGAGAUUGAAGUUUUUUUUU